GCCUAGCUGGCCCAGUCUGUAGAGCAUGUGACUGUUGAUCUUGGGCUUGUGAGUUCACACUCCAUGUUUGGC
RNAcentral lists this transfer RNA (72 nucleotides) under Felis catus (domestic cat). RNAcentral describes it as "tRNA-OTHER". Lineage: Eukaryota; Metazoa; Chordata; Mammalia; Carnivora; Felidae. The record is from RNAcentral.